This 159-nucleotide unclassified non-coding RNA is filed under the name uncultured Clonostachys. RNAcentral describes it as "sequence contains ITS1". The record is from RNAcentral. Lineage: Eukaryota; Fungi; Ascomycota; Sordariomycetes; Hypocreales; Bionectriaceae.
CAGAGUGUAAAAACUCCCAAAACCCAUGUGAACAUACCUAUCGUUGCUUCGGCGGGAUCGCCCCGGGCGCCUUGUGUGCCCCGGAGUCAGGCGCCCGCCGGGGGACCCAAACUCUUGUUUUUAACGAGUAUCUUCUGAGUAACGUUUUUAAAUAAAUAA